GUGUCAGCAGCCGCGGUAAGACGUAGGGGGCCAGCGUUGCUCGGAAUAACUGGGCGUAAAGGGUUCGUAGGCGGUGUGGCAAGUCGGGAGUGAAAUCCUGAGGCUUAACUUCAGGACUGCUUCCGAAACUGCCAUGCUGGAGUGCGGGAGAGGCGAGUGGAAUUGCAGGUGUAGCGGUGAAAUGCGUAGAUAUCUGCAGGAACACCAGUGGCGAAAGCGGCUCGCUGGACCGCAACUGACGCUGAGGAACGAAAGCUAGGGGAGCAAACAGGAUUAGAAACCCCGGUAGUCC
This 292-nucleotide ribosomal RNA is filed under the name uncultured bacterium. Its description in RNAcentral is "partial 16S ribosomal RNA". It matches the Rfam family "Bacterial small subunit ribosomal RNA", at positions 505 to 796 of the family's 1533-position model. The record is from RNAcentral.